AACGAACGCUGGCGGCAUGCCUAACACAUGCAAGUCGAACGAGAUCUUCGGGUCUAGUGGCGCACGGGUGUGUAACGCGUGGGAAUCUGCCCUUUGGUUCGGAAUAACAGUUGGAAACGACUGCUAAUACCGGAUGAUGACGAAAGUCCAAAGAUUUAUCGCCAGAGGAUGAGCCCGCGUAGGAUUAGCUAGUUGGUGUGGUAAAGGCGCACCAAGGCGACGAUCCUUAGCUGGUCUGAGAGGAUGAUCAGCCACACUGGGACUGAGACACGGCCCAGACUCCUACGGGAGGCAGCAGUGGGGAAUAUUGGACAAUGGGCGAAAGCCUGAUCCUGCAAUGCCGCGUGAGUGAUGAAGGCCUUAGGGUUGUAAAGCUCUUUUACCCGGGAUGAUAAUGACAGUACCGGGAGAAUAAGCUCCGGCUAACUCCGUGCCAGCCGCCGCGGUAA
RNAcentral lists this ribosomal RNA (449 nucleotides) under uncultured bacterium. RNAcentral describes it as "partial 16S ribosomal RNA". It matches the Rfam family "Bacterial small subunit ribosomal RNA", at positions 29 to 523 of the family's 1533-position model. The record is from RNAcentral.